This is a non-coding RNA of Vicia faba (fava bean), 321 nucleotides long. The record is from the annotation of a GenBank genome assembly. Lineage: Eukaryota; Viridiplantae; Streptophyta; Magnoliopsida; Fabales; Fabaceae.
AUGGUUAAGACCUUUAGGUUUGGAAGUUAUAAGGAAAGGGUUUGGAUCGAUAAACGGGGAGGAGAUAGCACGCUUUCAUCCUCACUGACCACCAUUAACAAUACUCACUUCAAUCUUCUUCAUAUCUCACCAUCAAUCCACCUUCUGAAGCAACUCAGUCCAUCUCCUUCACCGAAUUCCACUGCUACCCAACCUCCAUUUCCAUCCGCUCUCUACCGCGAGAUAUCUGCCUGUCAUCUCCAAUAUUCAACUUCCGAACGUUCCAAACCGUCGGAUCUCCAACUUCAGACGCGCAUCAAACUGCCAACUUUACCGUUUUGA